GAUGAACGCUGGCGGCGUGCCUAAUACAUGCAAGUCGAGCGAACAGACGAGGAGCUUGCUCCUCUGACGUUAGCUGCGGACGGGUGAGUAACACGUGGAUAACCUACCUAUAAGACUGGGAUAACUUCGGGAAACCGGAGCUAAUACCGGAUAAUAUAUUGAACCGCAUGGUUCAAUAGUGAAAGACGGUUUUGCUGUCACUUAUAGAUGGAUCCGCGCCGCAUUAGCUAGUUGGUAAGGUAAAGGCUUACCAAGGCGACGAUGCGUAGCCGACCUGAGAGGGUGAUCGGCCACACUGGAACUGAGAAAAGGUCCAGACUCCUAAGGGAGGCAGCAGUAGGGAAUCUACCGCAAAGGGCGAAAGCCUGAAGGAGCAACGCCGCGUGAGUGAUGAAGGUCUUCGGAUCGUAAAACUCUGUUAUUAAGGAAGAACAAAUGUGUAAGUAAAUAUGCAAGUCUUGACGGUACCUAAUCAGAAAGACACGGCUAACUACGUG
Molecule: ribosomal RNA, 497 nt
Filed under: uncultured bacterium
Lineage: Bacteria
Description: partial 16S ribosomal RNA
Rfam family: Bacterial small subunit ribosomal RNA
Source: RNAcentral